RNAcentral lists this ribosomal RNA (624 nucleotides) under Bacillus pumilus. RNAcentral describes it as "bacterial SSU rRNA". It matches the Rfam family "Bacterial small subunit ribosomal RNA", at positions 803 to 1427 of the family's 1533-position model. The record is from RNAcentral. Lineage: Bacteria; Bacillati; Bacillota; Bacilli; Caryophanales; Bacillaceae.
UAAACGAUGAGUGCUAAGUGUUAGGGGGUUUCCGCCCCUUAGUGCUGCAGCUAACGCAUUAAGCACUCCGCCUGGGGAGUACGGUCGCAAGACUGAAACUCAAAGGAAUUGACGGGGGCCCGCACAAGCGGUGGAGCAUGUGGUUUAAUUCGAAGCAACGCGAAGAACCUUACCAGGUCUUGACAUCCUCUGACAACCCUAGAGAUAGGGCUUUCCCUUCGGGGACAGAGUGACAGGUGGUGCAUGGUUGUCGUCAGCUCGUGUCGUGAGAUGUUGGGUUAAGUCCCGCAACGAGCGCAACCCUUGAUCUUAGUUGCCAGCAUUUAGUUGGGCACUCUAAGGUGACUGCCGGUGACAAACCGGAGGAAGGUGGGGAUGACGUCAAAUCAUCAUGCCCCUUAUGACCUGGGCUACACACGUGCUACAAUGGACAGAACAAAGGGCUGCGAGACCGCAAGGUUUAGCCAAUCCCAUAAAUCUGUUCUCAGUUCGGAUCGCAGUCUGCAACUCGACUGCGUGAAGCUGGAAUCGCUAGUAAUCGCGGAUCAGCAUGCCGCGGUGAAUACGUUUCCGGGCCUUGUACACACCGCCCGUCACACCACGAGAGUUUGCAACACCCGAUGU